This 1317-nucleotide ribosomal RNA is filed under the name uncultured bacterium. RNAcentral describes it as "bacterial SSU rRNA". It matches the Rfam family "Bacterial small subunit ribosomal RNA", at positions 10 to 1349 of the family's 1533-position model. The record is from RNAcentral.
AGUUUGAUCCUGGCUCAGGACGAACGCUGGCGGCGCGCCUAACACAUGCAAGUCGAACGAGCGAGAGAGAGCUUGCUUUCUCGAGCGAGUGGCGAACGGGUGAGUAACGCGUGAGGAACCUGCCUCAAAGAGGGGGACAACAGUUGGAAACGACUGCUAAUACCGCAUAAGCCCACAGGUCGGCAUCGACCAGAGGGAAAAGGAGCAAUCCGCUUUGAGAUGGCCUCGCGUCCGAUUAGCUAGUUGGUGAGGUAACGGCCCACCAAGGCGACGAUCGGUAGCCGGACUGAGAGGUUGAACGGCCACAUUGGGACUGAGACACGGCCCAGACUCCUACGGGAGGCAGCAGUGGGGAAUAUUGCACAAUGGGGGAAACCCUGAUGCAGCGACGCCGCGUGGAGGAAGAAGGUCUUCGGAUUGUAAACUCCUGUUGUUGAGGAAGAUAAUGACGGUACUCAACAAGGAAGUGACGGCUAACUACGUGCCAGCAGCCGCGGUAAAACGUAGGUCACAAGCGUUGUCCGGAAUUACUGGGUGUAAAGGGAGCGCAGGCGGGAAGACAAGUUGGAAGUGAAAUCUAUGGGCUCAACCCAUAAACUGCUUUCAAAACUGUUUUUCUUGAGUAGUGCAGAGGUAGGCGGAAUUCCCGGUGUAGCGGUGGAAUGCGUAGAUAUCGGGAGGAACACCAGUGGCGAAGGCGGCCUACUGGGCACCAACUGACGCUGAGGCUCGAAAGUGUGGGUAGCAAACAGGAUUAGAUACCCUGGUAGUCCACACCGUAAACGAUGAAUACUAGGUGUUGGAGGAUAGACCCCUUCAGUACAGCAAUUAACACAUAAAGUAAUCAACCUGGGGAGUAAGACAGCAAGAUAAAAAUCAAAGGAAUAAACGGGGGCCCGCACAAGCAGUAGAGUAUGUGGUUUAAUUAGACGCAACGCGAAGAACCUUACCAAGUCUUGACAUCCUGAGACGAUGCAGGAAACAGUAUUUUCAUUCGGGACGCAGAGACAGGUGGUGCAUGGUUGUCGUCAGCUCGUGUCGUGAGAUGUUGGGUUAAGUCCCGCAACGAGCGCAACCCUUACUGUCAGUUAAUACGCAAGAGGACUCUGGCAGGACUGCCGUUGACAAAACGGAGGAAGGUGGGGAUGACGUCAAAUCAUCAUGCCCUUUAUGACUUGGGCUACACACGUACUACAAUGGCGUUAAACAAAGAGAAGCAAGACCGCGAGGUGGAGCAAAACUCAGAAACAACGUCCCAGUUCGAACUGCAGGCUGCAACUCGCCUGCACGAAGUCGGAAUUGCUAGUAAUCGUGGAU